Molecule: ribosomal RNA, 490 nt
Filed under: uncultured bacterium
Lineage: Bacteria
Description: partial 16S ribosomal RNA
Rfam family: Bacterial small subunit ribosomal RNA
Source: RNAcentral
AUUGAACGCUGGCGGCAUGCUUUACACAUGCAAGUCGAACGGCAGCGGGGUAGUGCUUGCACUACUGCCGGCGAGUGGCGAACGGGUGAGUAAUAUAUCGGAACGUACCGAGUAAUGGGGGAUAACCAAUCGAAAGAUUGGCUAAUACCGCAUACGUCCUGAGGGAGAAAGCGGGGGAUCGCAAGACCUCGCGUUAUUCGAGCGGCCGAUAACUGAUUAGCUAGUUGGUGGGGUAAAGGCCUACCAAGGCGACGAUCAGUAGCGGGUCUGAGAGGACGAUCCGCCACACUGGGACUGAGACACGGCCCAGACUCCUACGGGAGGCAGCAGUGGGGAAUUUUGGACAAUGGGGGCAACCCUGAUCCAGCCAUGCCGCGUGUAUGAAGAAGGCCUUCGGGUUGUAAAGUACUUUUGUUAGGGAAGAAAAGGGAAGUGCUAAUACCACUUUUUGCUGACGGUACCUGAAGAAUAAGCACCGGCUAACUACGUG